AAGCGGAUCUAGGGAUGCUUCUG
This 23-nucleotide microRNA is filed under the name Haemonchus contortus (barber pole worm). Its description in RNAcentral is "hco-miR-5888". The record is from miRBase by way of RNAcentral. Lineage: Eukaryota; Metazoa; Nematoda; Chromadorea; Rhabditida; Trichostrongylidae.